RNAcentral lists this ribosomal RNA (253 nucleotides) under uncultured bacterium. Its description in RNAcentral is "partial 16S ribosomal RNA". It matches the Rfam family "Bacterial small subunit ribosomal RNA", at positions 524 to 776 of the family's 1533-position model. The record is from RNAcentral.
UACGUAGGGUGCGAGCGUUAAUCGGAAUUACUGGGCGUAAAGCGCGCGUAGGCGGCUUUGUAAGUUAGAGGUGAAAGCCCGGAGCUCAACUCCGGAACUGCCUUUAAGACUGCAUCGCUAGAAUUGUGGAGAGGUGAGUGGAAUUCCGAGUGUAGAGGUGAAAUUCGUAGAUAUUCGGAAGAACACCAGUGGCGAAGGCGACUCACUGGACACAUAUUGACGCUGAGGCGCGAAAGCCAGGGGAGCGAACGGG